This is a long non-coding RNA of Callithrix jacchus (white-tufted-ear marmoset), 2659 nucleotides long. RefSeq lists it as uncharacterized. Lineage: Eukaryota; Metazoa; Chordata; Mammalia; Primates; Cebidae. The record is from RefSeq and is a predicted model, not a curated record.
UCAGCGUGAGCCCAAGUGGUUCUUCAGCAGCAGACAUUCAUGGGCAUGAUCCUGGCACUCGCUGGUGUUUGUCUGACAGCUGUGUGUGCUUCGGCCGAAGCUGCAGUAAGUGACCUACCAGGUUCCGCGGAGGAAGCCUGGCCCUGCCAUUCCCCAUUGAGUCAGGAGGUCAAGUGAGAAUUCCACUGAUGUCUUUAAAUAGUCUUGGCUGCAACAAGCUAACGUAGGGGAGGAUUUUGGAGUGUGCCUGUGUGCGCCUGGCAGGGAUAGGCAGGUCUUCAGUUGCUGCUGGAGGGGGAAUUUGGAGGAGACUUCCUUAGCUGCCUCUAAGUGACACUGACCACAUGUUCAACUUUUACCAAAAGACUUUCGGGGCUCUCUGAAUGGAAUGUGGCUGGAAAUAACUCCCAGAACAUCGCUGGACAAGUUUUUGAAAUUCCAGGGCACUAGUCUUGCUCUGUUGCCAGGUGCCAGGCUGGAUUGGCUCGCUGCAACCUCUUGGGUUCAAGCAAUUCUCCUGCCUCAGCCUCCUGAGUAGCUGGGACUACAGGCACGCACCACCACACCCAGCUAAUUUUUGUAUUUUAGUAGACAUGGGAUUUCACUAUGUUGGCCAGGAUGGUCUCAAUCUCUUGACCUUGUGAUCUGCCCGCCUUCACCUCCUAAAGUGUUGGGAUUACAGGCGUGAGCCACCUCGCCUGGCCAAAGAUUUUUAUAAGCCAGUGCCUUGGGCAAGACUUUCAUCUGAGCACCAAUUUUUACAUUCUGUCUAAGGGCAGAUAAUGUUUAUAUAUGGAACAGUGUUGGUCUUCCAAUCCAAGUCUUUCUAAGAAAUGAAGAAAUGUGUACAGCUGGAUUCCUGUCUGCAGUAACAUUUUCUCAUCUCCAGGCAAACUGGAUUACACCUCACCCCUCUCUGGUCACCCUGCCUGAGUCUGGCCUCAGCCCUGACCCAUCCAGAUUCUUGCAUGUUGCUGCUUGCAGCACACUCAGGCCAUUGAACUGCAAGUUACUGCUGCUGCCAGGACACUCUGGACAAGCAGGCAAAUAGAGGAAUCACCUGAAGGCUGAGAGGAGCUACCCACCGCGGCAGGAGGAACAGGAUGGAACUCAGGUGAUCCACGGAGGCACUUGGGCAUCCUCUCUUGCCAUCUGAGUAGUGAGCAGACACAGGAGGCAGCCUUGAACUGAGAAGGAGUGACUGCCAAGCUGCAGCCUUCUCAGUAGUGAAGUUUGGCCGUACCACCAGGCAAGCCAGCAGGUGAACAGAGGUGGUAGUUGAAGGGGAGGAGAAUGCAGAAUGGAGAGUCAAGAAAGAGCUGAACGGCAGUGUUGGGGCCAUACCACCAGCUCCCCGCUGUCAGUUUCCCCCCGGGAGAAGGGGGCUCUAGGGGGCCAGCACAGCUGCAUCUGUGCAGUAUGAGGAGUGAGCCAAGGAGCCUGGGGAAACGUCUCUCAGAGUUGUAAUUGUCCAGCACCCCACUGCUGAGCUCUGAACCCCAUUGCUGCAAGCACCCCAGGGGUGCUUCCUGGGGGGUCCUCUACCCAUGAUGGAGCUUGGCAGGGACACUAAGGCAGGCCUGCUCCCAGGAGACGGGGGCCACCUUAAAUGCAUGGCUACGGCCUGGAGCCUCCUCAAUGGCUUCUCAAAUUUUCACCAGCACCGCCCUACUGUUUCCCACCCAAAUUCCUUCCUUCCCUCUCUCCUUCCCUUGUAAUCAGACCUGCGCCGUGGCCUGCCACCUCCCAGCCUCUCAGCUCCGCCCAUUCUCUCUCACAGGUGCUUCCCCAAAUAAUGUUCUUGCAGAUGUUUUCCCACCUUGAUGCCUGAUUCUUGGAAGACUCAGACAAACAUGUCCCUCUUCACCUUUCCGAUAGUGGUUUUCCACAAGUCUCCUCCCAUUUUCACCUAUUUCAUCGAAUUUAUUCAUCUUUACAAAGAGUCAACUUUUGGCUUCGUUGAUCCUCUCAGUUAAAUAUUUGUUUCUAUUUUAUAGUUCCUGCUCUUACCACUUAUUUGCUUUCUUUCAAAAUAAAGCUUUUGAACUUUGUUUUACUGUUCUUUUUCAAUAUUCUUUAAAUGGGUGCCUAAUUCACUAAACUUUUUUUGUUUUUGAGACACCGUUUCACUCUUGUUGCCAAUCUGGAGUGCAACAGCACUAUCUAGGCUCACGGCAACUUCCGCCUCCUGGGUUCAAGUGAUUUUCCUGCCUCAGCCUCCCAAGGAACUGGGAUUACAGGCAUGUGCCACCAUGCCUGGCUAAUUUUCUAUUUUUAGUAGAGACGGGGUUUCUCCAUGUUGGUGAAUCUGGUCUCGAACUCCCAACCUUGGGUGAUCCGCUGGCCUUAGCCUCCCAAAAUCCUGGGAUCACAGGCAUGAGCCACCACACCUGGCCUAAUUCACUAAACUUUAUGCUUCCUUCAUUCUGCAUCUGUUUAGAGGCUACAAAUGUUCGUUUAAUCGUUGCUUUAACUGUACUCCACAUUAUUGUGUAUUAUUUUCACUUUGUUUUGUUCAAAAUGUUUUCUAAUUUUGAUUAUGACUUAUUUUUUGACCUGAGUUGUUUAAAAACAGAGGCAGUUAUCCUUUGGUGAUCUAUUCUUUACAUAAUGAUUUUUUUUUUUUUUUUUUUUUUUUUUUUUUUAGAUGGAGUCUCCC